CUCACUAUAAAGAACUUCCACUUGCCAUCUCUAUAUGGAUUUUCUUUUUGCUACUGAUUUUGGCUAAAGGUUUUUCUGCUCUCAUCUCUAUAUGGAUAUGCUUUUUUUCAGGUUAGUAGUUUAGGAGUUCCUGCCAACACUGGUUUUUGGAAGUUAUACUCACUUCACCAGUUGGGCUUAACAAGGACAUAAUUAAUUCUCUGUUGGUAAUUAGAAGGAAAAAAAAUCUGGUUGGAGAAAACAUCUCUUUUGCUUAAUUGUUUGCUUCAUAAUUUUAGUAAUAUUUUUUUUCAUUUUUUUAGGUUAGUAGUAUGGGAGUACCUGUCAUGAAUAACUUUUGGAAGUUAUGCUAGCCUCAUCAGUUGGGUUUCUAUACCAAACUAGACUCAAUAUAAUUUAUGUUGGUGCUUGCGAUGAGUAUUACAGAGGGGUGAUGACCACAUAGUUCACCCAGUGUAUCUGUUCAUGUAUGUUAUUAAUUAUCUAAUUAGACAAACAAAAACUCUGUCUGUAUGGUGUUUGCGAUGAUGCUAUCAAUUCACUGAACACUAAAAUACAAGGUUGUGAUUUUCAAAUCUAGCAAAUAAAUUUUCUCCAAUGCUUCUUUUCCAGGCAGAAGUUUUAGUCUAUUCUAUGCCAUGAGUCUUACUGUCAAAAAAAUACUAUAUGGUAGCAUCAGAAGUUGUCUCCAUCAGAUAGAACACUGCCUAAUAGCUAGAUUCAUUUUAUUACUGUAUAGCCAUGGUGACAAAAAAAUUCAGAUAACAAGAAACAAUUCUGUCAAAUAUUCUCAGCGGAGAUACUGUUGCGGUCUAUAAGAAAAAAAAUGUUAAUUAUUUAUUAAACAGAAAACUAUGUUAUGCAUACCAACAGAUGCUAAACAAUCAGACUACCUGACAGAAAAGUAUAUAUACAUUAGUUAAAUUUCAUUCCAAAAAUAGAUGAUGUAUUGGUAGAUGUUAAUCAUACAAGAACACGAGGAUGACAAACAUAAAUUAAUCAUAUAUAUUAUCAUCACAGGUCGAUCUAACUGGUGGUAGUUUUUCUUUGCAAUGAAAACAAAUUUGAAUCAAAUGAUUCAAACAACCAAAAAGAAGGAAACAAAGGAUGCUUAUGGAUCUGAAUGGGUUAGGACGCUCCACUACUUGCAAGUAAUACAUAUAGAUCCAGCGACUCAGUGGCAGAGCUACUCUCGACAACACCGCACUGGCUCUACCCGGAGUCAUCACGGAAAUUACAACAAGAAAUGUGAAGUAAUUAGUACUCCCACCGUUUGUUUUUAUAAGAAGUUUCAGACAGCUUGCUUUGUAUUCUUUUAAACAGUGUCUGAAUGUCUAAAACAUCUUAUAAAAAGGAACAGAGAUAGUAUUUUUUUUCCAUGGGCAUAUGACCGCCGGCCAGUUGCCUUUGUGCUCAUGCCGGUGUUGUACCAGUAAAUUGACUCCAUCACUGCAGCGACCUGAAAGAACAUCAACUGUUUGUGGAGUUGGGAAUUUCUUCUCCGAGGAGAGAAAUGUUUAGUAUGUCUCUAAAUCACUCAACUGUCCUCCCGGACAAAGAUGAGUUUAAUAUGGUCCGUCGAUACAGAGAAGGCCUGCUAUCACAUACCGCUUAUUGGGUUGUGUAACAUUUAAUCUCAUUCCAACUCCACAUAUCCAACAAAGAAGCUUAUACCAAAAAAAAAAGAGCGGUUUUUUGUAGCACGAGCUACACGGUACCCCUAUCAAAACCGCCGUGUUUUGAAAUUAGCAGUGUAGCAGUGCUUUUGUCCACAGGCCCGUCAUAUCCAUUGCUAGCUUUUGUCCACAGGCGUCUGGAUGCAUGCUUUUGUCCACAGGCCCGUCAUAUCCAUUGCCAGCGUGAGGCCCUAGUUAGCUUUUUCAGAGACUGCAAUGUCACUGUACUCACGCGGCUACUGCUUCCCUUCUCAGCAUGCGCCUGCAACGAGUAGCGCCCGGCUGCGUCCUCGAGUCGUGUAGCACCUUGGGUGGCGGCAGGGUAAUGCGCAUGUCAGAGGAGGCUGAGCGGUGCCAUUUUUUUAUCUGUUUUUUUUAUGUUUACAAGAUAAAUGUGUACAAUCUCUAAAAAUCUCAACUCGAAACUCGAAGUGCACACAGAGAUAAAAAAGACGAAAUUACUCUACGGACGACAGAUACCAACCGAACUGUGGACGACGGGAGGAUUCAACGGCGAUGUUCACUUUUGGACUAUGCAUGGAUGGCCGGAUGCCCUUUAUCGUCUGCAAAUCGUCCAGAGUGUGUCGUUUGUGUAGCACAGCUCUAAAAAAGAAGAUAAUUCGAACAUGAAUAAUGUCACAAGAAGACAAAAGCAAAAAUGAUACUAUUUCACAUAUGAAUUUGUCUUUUUUAUCUACAUGACUGGAGUAAAUUGCAGAAAACCACCACUUUGAAGGCAAGCUUUGCGAAAACCAUUACAAUACAUUUUUUUUUGCAAAAAACACCGUGUCUACGGUAAUCUUUUUGCAGAAAGCACUGAUCGGCGGAUUGGAGCGUUUUAAGUAUGUUUAUGACAAGUGGGUCCAGAUUUUGCCGACGUGGCGUAACGGCUCUGUCAAAACAGCGUUAGAUGGGGGAUUUUACAAGGAGGCCCUUACGUCAAAAUAAAAAAAGCAAUCAACUCCAUGGACGAGCUCUUCUUCGCCAGCGGCGUGGCCGCGCCGGCGAUGCAGCCCCAACGACGCGGGCAGAGAUGACCCCCUACGGGGUCUGGACGAACUGGAGGGAGGCGAGGCGGUUCCUGACGGGUUCGGCUGCUGUCACCGCCGGCGAGGACUGCCUGAGCUGGGGAGGACCAGCGGGCUCAGGCACACCACAAACCUCGAGAUCCCGUCGCCGUUGGCGCCUGCUGGUGAUGGUGCCUGGCCGGGGAGGGCGACGAGAACCACCAGCUGCUGCUCGUGCUGCCUCCUGGGGACUCGGGCUCCUCGUCCACCGGCCGCGGCAGCGACGAGGAUGACGCGUCCGGCCUGGGCGAGGCAACGGCGGCUGGGCGAGGGAACGGCGGCGCGGGCCUAGCGAGGCAACGGCGGCGACGAGCCUGGCGAGGCAACGGCGGCGGCGGGCCUGGGCGAGGGAACGGCGGCGGCGGGCCUAGCGAGGCAACGACGGCGACAAGCCUGGCGAGGCAACAGCGACGGUGGACCUGGUGAAGAUAAGAUGAACCACCAUUUUUCUUUUUUCUUCCAAUGACAGGUGGACCCACAUAGGGAUGAUAACGUUACCAGACGUUGCCGUUACAUGCGAGAUGUUAAGCUGUGCCACAUCAGCCUAACUGGCGGGUCCCCUCUGUCAUAAACUCACUUAUCUGAGCCCGAUCCGCCGAUCAAUACUUUCUGCAAAAAGAUUACUGUAGACACGGUGUUUUUUGCAAAGAAAAUGUAUUGUAGUGGUUUUCGCAAAGCUUGCCUUCAAAGUGGUGGUUUUAUGCAAUUUACUCACAUGACCGAGUUUGGAGUUGAAAUUUUAAGGGGUUGUACACACUUAUCUUGUGAACAUCCACACACAAAAUCAGAAUUUUUUUAUAUUUAAAAAAUUGAGUUUUGUGAGAUUGGAUCAUGGUGUAGCACCUAAUCCAUGUGAGCACUAGAUAUUCUCUUGACAUACAUGCCAACGCGGUCUCUCUCUCCUCCCGUUUCCUGUCUUUGGAGGAAGUCAGACAUGCAUGCAGAAAGGAAAGUGAGAGAGCGCCCGCGAGAGAGAAAGAAACAUGUUCCUUCAGCGAAGUGACGGAGAGAGAAGAGCUAACGCAUGGCGACAACUGGUUCUGCUAAUAGUCUGACUCUGCCUCCAGCCAUUGCACACAUACCAAACUGAACAGACGGUGGUGAUACUGGGCACCGUGGAGCUCGGGCUAGGGAAGAACUUUGCGCAAAGAGAAAGCUACAAAUUGGAUGAUUGAUUCCUAUGAAAUUCAUGUUACACAUAUUUUAUUUCAAAAAGGGGAUUACCCGGCCCUCUGCAUCAAAUGACGCACACAUUCAUAUUAUUAAACAUAAAUCAAGUUACAAUCACGGAGUUCCAGACUUAUUUCAUCAAGUAGUUUUCUUCUAUUUGAACUCAAUUUCUUCUAUUUCUCUGAGCCGUGAGCUUAUAUCAGCGGUGAGCUCAUAUAUAUUCUGCAUUGUGAACUCAUUUUAGUUUUAUAUAUGAACUCAUUAGGUGAACUCAUCACGGUUUUUUGGCAGAUGUGAACUUAUUUCAUAUUCAUCUAUGAAUAAUGGUUGACGUGUCUGUAUAUCUCUCCCAUGCCAAUGUACAUAAAUUUGAGGUCUACAUACUUUUGCCACUUCUACCUACAAUUCCAUUCCUGUCUUUGAAUAAGCUACAGCAAGUGCAACAAAACAGAUUGCAACAAGUAGCUUAUGGGCUGAAAUUUGCGGUAUUAUUCAUUUGUCGUAUUGUCGCUCAGUUCAUCGUGGCUGUGAAACUAAACGUGACAUGAUAUUUUUUAUGUAAUUUCUAAAUUGCAAUCCAUAAUCAAGGACAAGACUACAAUAAAUGUGACUUACAUGCUCCUUGCAUUCAACACCUUCAGGACCUGCACGCAUCCAUCUCCUCCUCCGGCCGUUGCUGCCAUUAAGCCACUUGCUCAGGACCUGCACAAGCCAUCCACCUUCUCUUCAGCACCAGCCUCGCCACUAGAAUGCUUCUCCAGCAGGGGAGGGCAAGCACCCGCGGAGAGCUGCGUUGUCGUGUGCGGGCGUGGGGGAGAACCCGCGGCGAGCUGCGGUGGCUUGUGUAGGCAUCCGCGCGGCGAGGACGAGCUGUGCCGGCGCCUGCAGACAUGGACUAGCACCGGCAACGAGCCGCAGUGGCUCACGCAGGCAUCAGCAAGGCAUGGGCCAUCGGCGGGGGAGCUACGGUUGCGCAUGGGCAAGCUAUGGCGGAGAGAUGCGGUGGCUCGCGCAAGAGGUACGGCGACAAGCUAGCCCGAGAGCAAUCCUAUCCAACCAGUCCACACGCAUCAGAUAAGGUUAGAUAGCAUAGGGGCACUUUCAUCCUUUCAAGUGCUAGAAAAUGGAAAAGAAAAAGAAGAGCAAUGGAAAAAGGAGAAAUGACAUGGUAACGAAAGUGCACUGAACUGGGUGGCAUUUUUGUGAAGUCAGUAUUAAAAGCAGAAAAUAACCUAUUUUCUUCUAAAAAAAUAAGAUAAUUCUUUUUUUUUGUCGGGUUGGCUCACGCCCAAACUGGGCCACAAGGCAGUCAACUCCUUCAGACUGACUAAUAUCAAUCCGUUCACCGAGCACUCUUGCAUUUAGCCACAGAGGUAAGUCGACUCCCUGAUUUCCUUGCAGAUCAAUUAGUUGAUUCGGCAUUUUUUUGCACUGCCUAGCCUCGAUUUGUUUUUCAUAUGAAGUGACUCACAUGCUAAAUUUUUUCUUCCUCCCACCUCAACUUAUGUUGGUUUUGAUUAAUUAAAACUUACUCUGCCAGUCAACAAUGUAUAGGUCUGUUACUUUUCGGUACUAUUUAUCUUUCGCUCCUCUACUGCACCGAAUCCAUUGUAGUGGCUGAGCAAAAAAAAAACUUCAGUUUAAACACUUUGUUUGAAAAGAAAUAAAGAUACAUGCAUCUAAGUUUACAACCUUAUUAAACAAAAAAAGUACCUCUCAUGUCCACUUUAUAUUCUGUCAGAGAAGUCAAGACAAAUAAGGAUUCUUAAAAAAAGGGCUAUCUCUAACUUCAAGAUAUUUUGCAAUCCGUCGAGAUCUAGGACAUUCAUCAAUUCAAAAUGGACUAAGUUUGAAUGAAAUGAAAGCAACUUCAACAUUGUGUACAUAGGGAACAAACCACCAAGAACAAAAGCAUAAGAACUAGCCUCAUCUCUUUACCACAACAUCACUGAGACAAACCCAGCGGACAACCAACAUCUUAUCUAAAAAAAGAACAAGAGCUUCACAAUUCUGUGUCCAGUAGCCACUAUCACUAUCUACUGUAGAUCACUUAUGCGUCUACCAACUAGAUGUAUUCUUUUCUUGCAUGAACUACUAAUGAAUCAAGUCUUGGGACGAGUUACCAAAUAUUACAAAAAAACAAAUAGUUUAUAAAUCCAUGUGGCGCGGCGGGCACGCCGCGCACUAUCUGCUAGUAUGCACUAGCAUCGUAUAAAGCUAGAGGCUGUCAUUGGCAAUUUCCUUCUUCUCUGCACGCAGAAGAAAAGCCUACUGACCAGAAGAAAAGGAGGGACUGAGCUGCCUUGGGCGCACAUUCACAGUUUCGAAAGGAAAAACUCAUUUGCAGUUCACUCUCGGUUCUGCCAUAAAUCCUUGCACAACUCACGGCCAGCGUGUGUGUUGCCUCCAGCCCCGGAACUCCAAGGGCGGCAUGGAUGCAGGAUGUAGGAGGAGCAGCAUCGGCUGGUGCGCUCGCGCCGUUGCAGCCGCCGACGGACGGCCAUGUCGCCUCCAGAACCGCCUCUUUGCUGGCACCACCACUGCUGCUCAAUGUUCAAGACAAGGAGGAGAGGUGUAGCCAGCCAACCGCGCGGUAGGCGACGGAGGAGCCAACCGAACGCGCGGGAGACCGCAGGGCCGUCCGAGGCCUACGACCACGGCUACCGCCGCGCCGGCCAGCACGCGCGAGGCGCAAGGGCCACAGCCAGGACACGGAGACGCGCGGGAGGCCGCUCCGAUGUCCAUCGCAACGCCGCGCCGGGAACCCUCGCGGCCGCAAGGCCACGCGCAAGGCAUAACGAAGAGCAGGCGUUCCGGGUGGAGCGGCGCCGGUGGAGAGAAGUGAGGAAGACGGCUGGCGUCGGCCGGGAACGGAGGCGGCGGCGCUCGGGAGAGAGUGGGGGAGGGGGUUACUACUUACUACAGGGGUGGUGUUGGCAGAGGGGACCGGGCUCCGGGGGCCAGAAAAAGGGCCGCAGCGGGCCUCGACCGAGUUUUUCAGGGUUCGCGGGGUUUAGGUUAUGUGUUUACUUUCACCAGAGCGCAUGAAUACGGCAAGAGCAGAAAGCAGACUCCAGCCGUAAAAAACAUGGCAUUUCGCUGAUAGUAUGUCAUUUCUCUUUUACAGUGCAAUUUCACCGAACAUUUGGAACGUGAGUGUGGAAAUGAGAUAGAGUUUGAGUCUGAGGGUGAGAAAUAAGAGGGGGUAGACAACCCUUUAUAUAGUCAAAAAAAUUACACGUUUUAUAUGGGCUGACACGUUAGGCACGUUAGACAAAAAUAAGUCCAAAAAAUUAAAAUGAGGAAAAUGCCAUCAUGUGGGAUAAAUCUUGAGUUUUAUUAGUGACCGCCUCAUUAAAAUCUUUCAUCCCUAGAAAGUGAAAGAGUACAAAACCACUCUCUAGACUACAAAAGAAAAAGAAAGUUACAAAAACAUAAGAAAAUUACAAAGGAAAAAAAAUACAAAGACUACAACUGCUCUACGUCUUCUUCGUCUUGAGUGUAAAUUCUUCGAACGUGACCAUUAGUUCGUUGUUUUCGACAGUGUGUUGGCCUCUUCUUCUGGCUAGUUCUUCGUCUUUCACGGUCAUGAGUGUUCUCACCAUAUCCGGGGUGAGACUCAGGCCCGGUCCUGGGGGUGUGCAACCUGUGCCCCCGCAGAGGGCCCCCAGGUUUUAGGGGCCUCAAAAUUUUUAUGCAUUAGUAUUAGUACUAGGCAUUAUUACUUCAUUAACGAUAAGAUGAUGGUCCUUCUGUUCUCUAGUCGGCGGCUGGGCCUCCUAGCGCACAGGUCCUGAUCGCGAUCCCCUUCUCCCCGCUUCCCACGCCUCGGCUGCGUCCUAGUGAUCAAGAUUCACUCAGAAAAAACAAAUUAGGGAUCGAAGCGUCCCUUCUCUCCCUUCGUGCGACUGUUAGCCUUCUCCUUCGUUUCCUCGUGUGCGUGCGGCGGCAGCUUGGGCCAGUGACGCAGCGUGAUAAUCUUGAUUCUUGAGGUUGCUAAAGAAGGCAACGAGUGGCCGGUAGGAACGACACCUGGCACCCUGCAGGAAGGCAUGCAAGUUCGCACCAUCUUCGAUUUAUCAAGCGGUAUUGUUUCGACAACCGGUGAAUCCUUGAGCCCUUCACCUUCAUUGUGAGUUCUAAUUUCGAUCAUGUAUGUAGUUUUGCUGAUACUUUGUAGCUAAUUUUAUUAUUUCAUCAAUUAGGCGUCUAGCAUUACAAGAUCUGAGUCAUGUCUUCACUUGGAAAAAACAUGAAUCUGGUUACCAAAAGCGUUUGAAGAAACAAAUCGAGGAAUUAACUCAGUCUCAGUUUGAAGUUAUGGAUAAGUUUGUUAUAAAAAAACACAAGUGUCCUCCGAUUUUCAAUCACUUGAUCAAUAGCAUGCUGGUGAUAAUAAUGUUGAAAAUGAUACUAGCCCUAGAGAUAGCCAGAUAGAGACAUAGAAUUGAUUAUGAGGAUAUUAUUGAAGAUUUUAUUUCAAGCAACACUAAAAGAAUGAUGUUAUUUAAGUGAAGACUUUACAACCAAUAAUAGGUACGAUUCUUGAUGUUUCCCAUUACUAUGUAAGAUAUUAUGAUCUGCAUAUUAUUAUAGUUAUAUUUAUAUAGUUUUUUAAGUGAGGUAGGGCCCAUUUUAUAGUUUUGCACAAGGCCUCAGAUUUUGUCAGCCCGGCCCUAGUGAAACUCAUCCUUCUUUCCUCAAGUAUUCUUCCAGUUAGACUAAAAGGAGACUCUCAUAAUGUAGAUGAGACGGGUACUGAUAACACAACCCGUGCUAAUAUGGAAAGCAUCGGAUAUGUAACCUUGUGUUCAUGACACCACCGAAUUAUGUCAAAGUUGUCCUCCUCAUUUUCAUAAGUUGACUUUGUCGCUGUUGAGAUACUUCGCUAACUCCCCACCACCUAAAAGCACAGUCGAUGGUUCUGAUGUGGAAAAGCUCGGGGCAGAGGUGGAAGAACCAAAUAACUUGCUCCAUGCUCCUUUCUUUUUUUCCCGUUGGUGCUGGUGGAGGCCACUGCAUGCGAGCUCCGACAUACUUUUGAUCAUACUUCGCAUAAACAUAAGAAAGCUUAUCACGAACCUCAAUGGAAUAAGCGAUAUAAUCUAUCCCUAGGGCCCCAGCUAGUACAACGAGUGCACUAGCAAACAAUUCAAGUUUAACCCUAGGAUCCAAGAUAAAUGCAAAUGCAUACAAAAUAGGAAUCUUCGCCCAGUAUUUGCAAUAUUUAAGUUUCAUGCGAGAACCAUAGAAAUUAAUAAUACAUUAUUUUCAAAUGCCUUCAAGUGAGAUGUAACGUCUACAAGAGUGUGCAUCAUCAAAGGAGAUGUGGGAUAAUAAACCCCAGAGAAAGAAAUUGUUGCAUCAUAAAAUAUCUCUGAAAACUUGACCAAAGCUUUAGCAACAUUCCAAGUAUCAGCAGUGAUAUGUUCUUUUCCCAUAUUUGCAUUAAUCCAUCCCGAGAACACAAUUUUGUCUCGGAUAACUGCCUUAAGCAUCAUAUAUGUAGAGUUCCAUCUAACAAGUGUAAGGGCAUAUUUAUCCCCAAGAUGUUUUGGUGAUUGAUGACAAUGCUUGUGCGGACUAAUCGUGUGCGUUAAGUUCUUUCAGAGAUUCAUCCAUUGGUACGAGACGAUUACCUCCCCUCGGUGUUUUAUUCAAGACGGUGUAGCUCCUUCGUUUCGUUGUUGGUGGACUAGUUUCGUAGGAGUCACCAUACUAUCAAGAGGGGAUCCGUUUUGGUAAGGCUAGGGUGGAAUCAACAUGUACACAUCCUUAUCACACCCGACGUUUUCCUUCCGCUUCAUUGGAGCUGCCUUUUCCCCUGUGUAUGCUUUGUCCUACCCCAGCGGUAGUACCGCGGUCCACAGCGGUAGUACCGCGGUCCACAGCGGUAGUACCGCCGAAGCACCCUAGCGGUAGUACCGCUCCCCAAGCGGUAGUACCGCUCUCCGAGCGGUAGUACCGCUUGUGGUCUUCGGCCGUAGUACCGCAGUGGUUCCGGGCUACUGCUGCCUCGAUUCGAGACCGAUGUUUUUCGUGUCGGGUUUUAGUGGCGGUAGUACCGCUCCAAGCGGUAGUACCGCGUCUACUCCCACGGUAGUACCGCUCUGGGGCCAGGACCCUGACCUCCCCGUCAGCGUGGCAGUACCGUUGGGUAAGAGCGGUAGUACCGCCCUCAGCGGUAGUACCGCCCUGCCCAAGCGGUAGUACCGCUCUGUGCGGGGCUGUUCAGUGGGGUAACGGUUGGAUUGGUUCCCCCACUAUAUAAAGGUGUCUUCUUCCCCAAAGUUGACUUACCUCUUUCCCCCAAAGCUCCAUUGUUGCUCCAAGCUCCAUUUUCACCCGAUCUCUCUCCCUAGCCAAUCAAACUUGUUGAUUUGUUCGGAUUGGUUGAGAAGGCCCCGAUCUACACUUCCACCAAGAGAAAUUUGAUUCCCCCACUUAUCCCUAGCAGAUCUUGAUACUCUUGGGUGUUGAUCACCCUAGACGGUUGAGGUCACCUCGAAGCCAUACUCCAUUGUGGUGAAGCUUCGUGGUGUUGUUGGGAGCCUCCAAGUGUUGUGGAGAUAGCCCCAAUCUUGUUUGUAAAGGUUCGGUCGCCGCCUUCAAGGGCACCAAUAGUGGAAUCACGGCAUCUCGCAUUGUGUGAGGGCGUGAGGAGAUUACGGUGGCCCUAGUGGCUUUUUGGGGAGCAUUGUGCCUCCACACCGCUCUAACAGAGAUGUACUUCCCUUUAAAAGGAAGGAACUUCGGUAACACAUCCUCGUCUUCACCGGCUCCACUCUUGGUUAUCUUGUGCCUUUACUUUUGCAAGCUUACUUGUGUUGGAUCUAUUACUUGCUUGUGUGCUAGUUGUAUUUGCAUCAUAUAGGUUGUCCACAUAGUUGCACAUCUAGACAACCUAUUUCGUUGCAAGGUUUAAAUUGUUAAAGAAAAGUCUAAAAAUUGUUAGUUGCCUAUUCACCCCCCUCUAGUCAACCAUAUCGAUCCUUUCAAUUGGUAUCAGAGCCUCAUCUCUUUAUUAAGGACUUUGCCGUCCGAAGAGUAUGGUUGACAUCAACAACGAUGUGGAGGAGCACUCCGGUGUGAAUCCCAUCUCGUCUUCGGCCGAAGGGGGAACCUCGGUCUCAUGUGAGGAAUUCAAUGUGGCUUUAGACACAUUGAAAACCUCCAUGACUGCCGAGGUUAAAAGCAUGUUUUCUGAAUUCCUAGAAGGACUUAAACUAUCUACCUCGCCUAUGAAAGUGGGUGAUCCCACUAACAAGGUGACGGAUGCUACCUCCAACAAGGGGGAAGCUAACAGUGAAAAAGAGUCCUUCUACUAGUGGUAGAAAUGGCACCGGCAUCUUUGCCCAUGUGGAACCCCCAGUUUAUAGAGGACCGAUCCCCUCUACUCAUUUGAAUCAUGCCGGUCCUCCUCCUAAAUAUGAGAAACAUGAAGAUUUUGAUUCUUGGGUUUAUCGCUUCAAGCGUCAUUUAAAACAUGUGAAUACUAACCUUUGGAGAAUCAUUGAAGAAGGUUUCUAUCCUCAUGACCCAAGCAACUUCACCCCUCGAGAAGACAUGGACAAUCAAUUCAAUGAGAGUGCUCUCUUCAUCAUCCAAGAUGCAAUCCUUCCCGAAGAUCUCCCUCAUCUUCGACCUCAUGUCAUGGCUAAAGAAGCAUGGAAAUAUGUUGAGUCUCUCUAUCGAGGAAGUGCUAGCAUUCAACGCUCCAACUAUGAAGUGGUGCAAGAUGAAGCCGAUGAGUUUGCAAUGAAAGAAGAUGAAGAACCUCGUGAGCUCUUUUGAAGAGUGACCAAACUCGCGGUCGCACUCCGAGAUCAUGGGAGCAAGGACACGGAUGACAAUUGGAUCAAGCGCAAGUUCCUCAAGGCCAUGAUGCCCUACAACAAGGCCAUGUCCUCCGUCAUUCGUCAAAGACCGGACUUCCACUCCAUGACCUCAGGUGAAGUGUUGGAUGAGUUUGUUGCAAUGAGCAUCUUGGACAAGACCGCCGACAAUGCGGUGCUCCGUUCUCAAAGGGCAAAGAAGCCCAAUCUUGCCUUGAAGGCCAAGGUUAGUGUGGAAGAAGAAGAAGAGGAAGAUGAGGAGAGCAACCCCGAAGACACAAAGUAUGAUUAUCAUGAGCACAUGGCUCUUGCCUCAAGACAAUUUUGGAGUAAGAAGAAUACAAGACCCAACUUCAACAAGAACAACUUAAGUGGCCUCAAGGGCAAGCAACGAGUGAGAACUUGUUUCAAAUGUGGCAAUGUGAGCCAUUUCGUUGCGGAUUGUCCUUACGAGAAGCGGGAAGACAAUGGUGGCAAGUUCAUACGAAAAGACAAAGCCAAGUCCUUCCCAAACAAGAACAACUUCACCAAGAAGACUCCUACUCGAGGGUUGGUAGUUCAAGAAGAAUACCAUGAGGAUGACGAUGAUGAUGAAGAUAGUGAAGCAACGGCUAUGGCAUCCGUUGCCAUUGCCACAACUCCCCGGGUGUCUAUCUUCGAUUCACCCAACGAGAACAUCACCGCCAAGUGCCUCAUGGCUAAAGCCACCAACAAGGUAACCCCCAACAUCAAAACCACCAUUAUUCCUAAUCCUCCUUCAACGGAUGGUCUUGAUAAUGUUAAGGGGUCUAAUGAGGAGGUAAAUGAAUUUGAGUCAUUCAUGAGUAAGCUCAAGGGCAAAUCCAAGAAGCACUUUGUUGCUCUCUUGGAACAACUUGGUGAAGCCAAUGCCAUGACCGAGGCUCAUGAAGAAACCAUCUCUAAGAUGGAUGGUCAUAGUCGUGACUAUGCCGAUGAGAUAUCAGAUCUCUCUAAUGCUCUUGAGGAAAAGCGUGGGCAUCGUUUGGCUCUUGAGGAGUCACACAACGAUGACCAUGCCAAACUAAAGAAGGAUCUUGAUCAUGCUCUUGUUGUGUCUCGUGUUCUAACUUCCGAGAAGGCUAAACUUGGGGUUGAUCAUGUUAGACUCAAGGAGGAGUUUGAUGUACUUGACAAGGCCCAUAAGGUCUUGAAAGGUGCUCAUGCAAACCUCAAGGAGUCUCAUGCUCAACUCCAAGUUAAGCGAACCAAGGAAAAGGCCACAUUUCCUCACAUGGUCUUGAUUGAUAAUGCAAAUGCUACUAACCCAUGUUGUGAGCAUGUGCAUCUUGUGGAGGAGAAUGUCAAGUUGAAGGAACAACUCGAGAAAGGUCUUGUGUCAUGCAUACAAGGCGAGAAGAACCUAAAUGACCUUUUGAGCAAUCAAAAGGAAGUUGUGGGCAAGGAGGGAGUUGGGUUCUCACCCAAGUCCAAGAACAAGAAGAAGAACAAGGAGAAGAAUAACCAGACCAAUCGACCUCCCCCGCUCAAGCAAACCUUUGUGAAGGAGGGAGAGGGUGCUCCUAAGGAGAAGAAGAACAAUGCGAAGAGUGGUGAUGCCAAAUAGUGCAAAGCCAUCUCUCCCAACAAAGCCGGCGACUUUAACCCCUCUUAUGUGUUGUGCCGUGCUAGUGAUGGGCAUGUUUAUGCUAAAUUUGUUGGUUCUUCUUAUGAGUACAUUGAAUGGUCUAUUUGGGUUCCUAAGACCCUUGUUACUAACAUCAAAGGACCCAUUACUCAAUGGGUACCUAAAACCAAGCAUUGAUCUCUUGUAGGUGUUUGCUUCCGGUGGGGGAUCAUGGUUGCUUGAUAGUGGAGCAACAAAUCAUAUGACCGGGAGCAAGGACUUGGUGGUGGAAGUGCACAAGAUCCCAUCUAUGCCCACCAAUGUCGAAUGGGGUGAUGCCUCUCAUUCUAAGGUAUUGGGUCUUGGCAAGGUUGUCAUUUCUCAUGAUCUAAUGAUCGAGAAAGUCAUGCUUGUUGAGUCCCUUGCGUUCAAUUUACUUUCCGUUCGUCAACUCGCACUCAUGGGCUUUGCCACCUUCUUUGAUAUUGAUACCAUGGCCCUCUUGUGGAGCAAGACUCUUAAAGUAGCCUUUGUUGGGCAUGUCGAGAAUGGUCUCUAUGUGAUUAACUUUUCGGAGCAACCCACUAAGACCGCGACAUGCCUAAUGGCUAAAGUUGAUGUGGGAUGGCUUUGGCAUCGCUGUUUAGCCCACGUCAAUAUGAGAUCUUUGCAAAGUCUUCUCAAGGGGGACCAUGUCCGUGGACUAACGAAUGUUAGUUUUGCCAAAGAUCGUGCUUGCAGUGCUUGUAUCAAAGGAAAGCUUCAUGAAACGGCUCACCCUCCCACGACUAUCAUCUACUCAAAGAGACCCUUGGAGCUCCUGCACAUGGACCUCUUUGGGCCUCCAUCCUUUGAUAGUCUUGGGGGUAGAAAGUAUUGCUUGGUGAUUGUGGAUGAUUAUUCAAGAUACACUUGGGUAUACUUCUUCAAGAGGAAGAGUGAGACUCAACAAACCGUCAUCGACUUUGCAAAUGAAGCUCAACGUCAACAUAAUGCAAAGAUCUUGACAAUAAGAAGUGACAACGGCACCGAGUUCAAGAACUACACCUUGGAUGAGUUUCUUAGUGAUGAGGGGAUCAAGCACCAAUAUUAUGCACCAUAUACCCCUCAACAAAAUGGUGUUGCAGAGAGGAAGAACCGGACAUUGAUGGAUGCGGCAAGGACCAUGAUGGCGGAGUUCAAGUCUCCAUACAACUUUUGGGCCGAAGCCAUCAACACUGCAUGUCAUGCAUCCAAUCGGCUCUAUCUCCGCAAAGGCUUGAACAAGACUCCGUAUGAGAUACUCACCGGGAACAAGCCCAAUCUCAAGUACUUUCGGGUGUUUGGGUGUAAGUGUUUCAUUCUCAAGAAAGGUGUUCGUUUGUCUAAAUUCGAGGCCAUAGCUUAUGAGGGCAUAUUUGUUGGUUAUGCUACAAACUCUCAUGCUUACCGUGUUCUCAACAAGUCCAACGGACUCAUUGAGGAGACGUGUAACGUGGAGUUUGACAAAAAUAAUGGCUCCCAAGUGGAGCAAAGUAGUACUUGUGAUGUAGGUGAUGAAAUUCCUCCCCAAGCCAUUAGAAGAAUGGGUAUUGGUCAUAUUCUACCCAUUGAGGAACCCCUUGUGGCCGAAGGAGAAGGACAAUGCUCCACUCUAGUGGAGCCUUCACCUACUCAAGACUCACACGCUUUCGAAGAAAAAAGUGUAGGCCCUCAACCUCGGGAACAAGACCAAGGGCAAGAUCAAUCUCAAGAUGGUGGUGAACCUCCAAAUGAUGCCCAAGGUCAAGUUCUCCCCCUCGAGCAAGUUCAAGAUCAUGAGCAAGCUCAAGAUCAAGAACAAGCUCAUGACGACGCUCAAGAUGAUUAAGUGAACCCUCCUCUUCCACAUCCGAGGAGGAAUUAGAGCGUCGUGCAACGAAGAUUGCCUCCAAACUCACCACCAAAGGUCAUCUCAUGGAGAAUGUGGUUGGAAGCCUAAGAAAGGGGGUAAGCACUCGUAGACAAUUAGCAAACUAUUGUGAACAUCACGCGUUUGUCUCUUGUGUUGAACCCCAUAAGGUCUAUGAGGCGCUCAAAGACUCGGAUUGGAUCAAUGCCAUGCAUGAAGAACUCAACAACUUCGAGUACAACAAGGUGUGGAGGUUGGUGCCAAGGCCUUCGGGGAACCAUAACAUCAUUGCAACCAAGUGGAUCUUCAAGAACAAGCAAGAUGCUCAUGGGAACAUCAUUCGCAACAAGGCAAGAUUGGUAGCACAAGGCUACUCCCAAGUCGAGGGUAUCGACUAUGGUGAAACCUUUGCUCCCGUUGCUCGCCUUGAAUCCAUUCGUUUGUUGAUUGCUUAUGCUUCCCAUCACAACUUUAAGUUGCAACAAAUGGAUGUGAAAAGUGCUUUUCUUAAUGGUCCCAUUAAUGAGUUGGUUUAUGUCAAGCAACCCCCCGGGUUCGAGGAUCCUUACUUCCCGGAUCAUGUGUAUCAACUCGAUAAGGCACUCUAUGGCCUUAAACAAGCCCCACGUGCGUGGUAUGACCACCUUACCGAGUUGUUACAAGAUCAUGGAUUUGAAGUUGGGCUAAUCGAUCCCACUCUUUUUACUAAGAAGGUCAAAGGGGAGUUGUUUGUGUGCCAACUAUAUGUUGAUGACAUUAUCUUUGGUUCACCUAACAAAGCUUUCAAUGAAGAAUUUGCCGCUCUCAUGACCUCCAAAUUCAAGAUGUCUUCGAUGGGAGAGUUGAUGUUCUUCCUUGGUUUUGACAUCAAACAAAGAAGAGAAGGAACCUUCAUCAACCAAGCCAAAUACACUCAAGACAUGCUAAAAAGAUUCAAGCUAAGUGAUGUCAAGCCGGCUACUACUCCAAUGCCCACCAAGUGCCAACUUGACAUUGAUCCCAAUGGUAAAGCGGUGGAUCAAAAGGUAUAUCGCUCCAUGAUUGGCUCCUUGCUUUACCUUUGUGCAUCUAGACCGGAUAUCACGUUGAGUGUGGGGAUGUGUGCACGGUUUCAAGCCGCACCGAAGGAAAGUCACUUUGUGGCGGUCAAGCGAAUCUUUCGAUAUUUGGCUCAUACCCCAAACUUUGGCUUAUGGUACCCAAGAGGGGCAAACUUCAAACUUGAAGGAUUUAUGGAUUCCGAUUGGGCGGGAGACAAAGUGGAUAGGAAGUCCACUUCCGGAGGGUGCCAGUUUCUUGGGUGCUCUUUGGUGAGUUGGUCUUCCAAAAAGCAAAGUUGUGUGUCUCUCUCGUCCACCGAAGCGGAAUAUGUGGCGGCCGGUAGUUGUUGUGUACAACUUUUAUGGAUGAGGCAAACUUUAAAGGAGUACGGUGUCAUUUGUGACAAAGUGCCUCUUUGGUGUGACAAUGAAAGUGCCAUCAAGAUUUCUCUCAACCCGGUGCAACACUUCAAGAUGAAGCAUAUUGAGAUCCGGUAUCACUUCAUCCGGGAUCACAUUAGGCGAGGGGAGAUCAAUCUCAAGUAUGUCAACACUCAUGAUAACCUUGCAGAUAUUUUCACGAAGCCCUUGGAUGAAGCAAGAUUUCGCGAGUGAAGGCAUGAGCUAAAUAUCAUUGAUUCGAGCAAUGUGACUUGAACCCUUUCUCACCCCACCUCACUCAACUUGGUGUCUAGUUUAGAUGUAGGAAUGGACAGAGUGUUGUUCUCUCAAUGAACUCUCCCUCCCCCCAUUAUGCAUAAAAUGAUCAACUCUUUCACAUUAGCCAUUUUUGAUGGUACUUGUGCUUCAAAGACGAGUUUUGGUCAUGGGCCCAAGGAUAAUUCUUCGCGGUGCCAUACCAAUUGACUCAAACAUAGGUGGCUCCGGCCAGCGCCCUCUCUUGAGAGAGGCUAGAGCUCGCUCUGGUUCGUGUGGUUGUUUUGAAAGAGUGGGUUCUGGACCGUUGUUAGUGUGUGUGUUGCCUUGUUGGUCUUUUCUUUCUCUUGGCCUUGCUUUCUCGUCUCUUUGGUGCUUUUGCCGCUUGUCUAGAAGCCGUUUGGUUGCUGAGCGGUACUACCACUGGUGGCGAGCGGUACUACCGCUCCGAGCGGUACUACCGCCCUCCAGCGCUGUACUACCGCUGUGAGGCGCGGGCAGGGGGUUAUAUCGGGGGCAGGGGGAGUUUCUUAUCCCCCAUACCCAUUCGCACGCCCCCUUUCUCUGUUCCUCUCUCUUCAGCAACCGGCGCCGCGGGAGGGCUCCGGCAGAUCUCCCUCUCCGGGGCGUUCCUCUCCAUUUCCUUCGGUGGAGACGAUCCCCACCUUGUCCUCUUGCCAUGGAUACCGGUAUUGCCCCCGCUCCCUAUUUCUUCUUGUCUAGAUUUCCAAUCUAGCAUCUUAGGGGCAAUAACAGUUGCCUCUCUAGAUUUUUGGCUAGAUCUAGGCUUGAGUAGGAUGGAGAAUGCUUCCAAACAGUUUGGUUUGGUGUUUGGUUGGAGUAUUUUUGAAUUUGGUAGGACGGUAGUGCCGGAUCUGACCACGGCAGUAGGAAACUGCUGUUUCCCGUCUCGAGCGGUACCACCACUCUCUCCAGAGCGGUACUACCGCUUGGAGCGGUACUACCGCUCGCGGGUCGCGGUACUACCGCCCUCUACCGGUUUCCACCAUGCUCUUUACCUCUCAGUGAUCUUUUGCUCGUGUUUUGUGGCUUAUGCUCGUUCUUUCUGGUUGUUUGCGUGUUAUUGUGUGUGGUUCCAGGUGAUGAGGUUCCUGAGCAUCAGGCUCAUCGUGUCAACCCCGGUCGUGCCACGUCCAAGCGCUAUCGCACCACUGAGUCUGCCGGAGGUUCUUCAAGUGCUCCACCUCCACCUCAACUCCAGAAGAAGCCUGGGGUCAAGCCAAAGCCAGGAAAAACCGUGCCAGAAAUGCCGCCCAAGGAGUUCUGGGCAAGGCGUCGCCGCAACCCGUAUGAGUCUGACCAAGAUCCCACUUUGGUCAAUCGUCCGUUCUGGAACAGGUACCAGUUUGCAAUCUUCUUUGAUGUUCUCAAAGCCAAGAAGAACCUCUUUGUCAACGUGCACUCCAUCGACACCGACCAUAUGGAGAAGGAUCCUGAAUACUUUGGUGAAACUCUUCAGAUGUGCACUCAACUGAACAUUCUUGGGAUCAUGCAAUUCAACAAAGAUUAUGAUGCUGAUAUUGUGGCCCAAUUCUAUGCCACGGUACAUCUCGGGACUGAUGAGGAUAGGACACUUGAAAGGAUCGAGAUGGACCUAGAGGGGGGGGGGUGAAUAGGUACAAUUACAAAUUCUAAUUAUUACUUGGCAAUUUUUAGGCAAUAAUGCGGAAUAUGAAGAUGAGCCUAACAAUUUCAUGUGAGCACAAAGUACUAAGAAAAUAACACAAACACGUAAGUAGGCAAGCACAAUAUAAUGUACGCAAGUGUAAAGAGACAAGUAACCACAAGUAGAGAGUUAAGGUUAGGAAUAACCGCAACUCCGGGAGACGAGGAUGUAAGCCGAUGUUCACUCCCUUGGAGGGGAGCUAGUCACCGUUAGAGGGAUGGAUGUUACCACGGAGGCACACCAACGCCACGAAGGCUCACCCUAUUCUCCCUUUGAGACAACACCACGGAGGCGUUUCUCAACCACUAGUGGUAGACCUUGGGGUACUCUCCAAACCCUCACAAACUUUUCCGAGGGUAAUCACAAAGUUCGAUUCCUCUCCGGAUGACUCCUACCGCCUAGGAGUCUCCAACCUCCAAGAGUAACAAGAACGAUGGGGAAAUGCUCAAAACUUGCUCAAGUCACGAAUUCCUUUGGUGCAAAGAAGGAGAAGAAGUGGAUCUAUCACUUGAUUGGAGAACUUCUCUCAAAAUGCUCCUAGAACACUUGGAAUCUAGGAUUUAGUGUGGAUGAAUGAGAGAGAGAGUGAGGAGUGUUCUUAUGAGGCUCAAAGUGAAUGGUCAACCCAAUCCCAUGGAAGGGAAGGGUGUAUAUAUAGGUGGUGGGAAAAAAUGGCCGUUUGGGGUACAGGAUGGCCGGAUGUCCGGAGAACGUCGGACGUCUGGAGGCCCAAAUGGGUCCGGACGUUCGACAGUCAUCGGACGACCGGCCGCUGUGAAAAGUGUGACCCACAAUCCAGUGUACAGGAUACGGACGUCCGAGCGGGGCCGGACAUCCGUAAGAAUGCUUCUGAUGUGAAAGUGUCGGACGUCCGGAGGGUUCCGGACAUCCGUAAAAAUGUUUCUGUUGUGGAAGUGUCGGACGUCCGGAAGUGUCCGGACGUCCGGGCAAUCAGGAAGGACCGGACGUCCGUAGAACACCGGACGUCCGAAGGCAAGGUAUAUAGAUAGCAACUUUUGAGCAAGUUUUUCACAGAUCCAUCGAUCCCCUCUUAAUAGUGCGGGAUCCCUAUAAUCAAGAACAAACCAUAAAUGAAGUCAACAUCUUGUAUCUCCAUUCUUGAGUUAUAUGCUUUUGUCCCUAGUCAUGAUCCAUGCACACGGUCUUUGGAACAUAAUCCUGAGAUAUACUUGAUAAACAUGAUUAGUCCCGAGCAUAUGUGUUGUCAUCAACAUCAAAAUAUGAUUAAGGGCAUGAUUGCACUUUCAAUCUCCCCCUUUUUGGUAGUUGAUGACAACUCAUAUGCAUACUCAUAAUAGUAAUCGGAAGUAUUUGUUGUGGAGCUCAAUAUCCAUAAUAAGAAUAAGUAGCGAGUGAGCUCCGCCUCAAAGUGAUACCACAGAUACUACUAAAAACAAAAAUGAUGAGGGCUCCCCCUCAAACUGAUGCCAAGAUAAUCAAGAGUUACACUUCAUAUAGAUUCACCAAAUCUCAUAUUCAACAAACUCAUAACCAACAAACUCAUAACAUAGUUCAACAACUCAUAACAAGGUUCAACAAACUACUGAUAACAUAGAUUCGAUUACAUAAUGACCUAGAGUAAUGCAUAUGGAGCCUACUCCCCCGUUGGCAUCAAGUAUCCAAAGAAAAGAACUAGGGGGGAAUGACAUAACAGUAUUAAAGAUCAUCCUCAUCAUCAUCAUCAUGAACACCACUGCCACCAACCUCAUCGAAGAAAUCAGCCCACUCAGGACCGGAGGGAAAACCAAAAUCAGAAGGGGGAUCUGCAGGAAGACGCUCAUCGUCACUCACAUCAUAUACGCCUGAGUCUCUCAGACGAGCCUUCAGAGCAUUCUUGGAAGUGACCAUGCGAGUGACCACAUCAUGGUGUUGGGAGCAAUGGUAGGUGAACAUCUUCAUCAUGACUGAAUGAGCCUUCCCAAGAAAACAAGCAAUGCGCCCAAAGGGGGCAUCACUGGAAGGAGGAUGGGUAGCAUGAGAAGGAAAACUAGCGGCGGUGCGACUAGCAGUAGCGGGAGGAGGAGGAACAUGGUCAGCCGCCAUGUGAGGUGGGAUGACCCAUCUCUCAUGUAUAUGAGUGCGUGCAAUGGGAAAGGGAGCUACACUCUCGAUAAAUGCCUGAAUAAAAGGUGCAUGAGGGAAAGCCCGCUUGUGCUGGAAGCUAGCAAGGCAGAUCUCAUGCCAUAGAAAGUGUGGAACAUUUAUCUUCCCUUUAGGAGAUGUGAAGAGGCGAUGCAUGAGAUCAAUGCAGUAGCUGCUGUGGGAGCCCUGGUCACCCAUCUUGGGAUAAAUGGUGCGGAUGACACCCUGAUAAAUGAUGUUGAAUGGAAAACGCCAAAUGGAGACUUGAUUUAGACCCUUUUGGUUUUCAGUGCUAGACAAAGAUGAUAUGGGUCUAAGGAGAUCCGCACAGACCGUAAUGCCUUUGGGCUUAUGGUUGGGGUCAUCCUUGUGGAUUUUGAACCCAGUGUCAGGAAAUCCAAGUGCGGUGACAAACUUAGCAUAAGAUGCUGUGAGUGCAGUGUUGGAGGUCAUCCAUGUGACAGUGUUAUCAGGAGCAAAGUAACAUGUGGCAUAAAACUGAUGGAUGGCAGCAUGGUUAAAAUCGUGUUGAAAGGCGAAUGGGGUAGCUAGAUUUGACGACUCAAUGAGCUCAAUGGCUCCCAGAUAUUUCUCCGGAUGAGUGCAAAUGUGCUCAAGAUCAAUGCAAACAUGAAGUGACAAGCCUUUAGGGAUGACAAUCGUGGUGAAGAUGUCGGCUUGGACAUUUGUGCGAAAGCGACUAUCCUGAGAAUCCCUAACAACAGUAAAUUGAUCUACAUCACGAUGCAAUUUAAGAUAUGAAGAUUUGGGGACCUCGUUGAAACGCUUAACAUGACGGCCUAGUGACAGUGGAGGCUCAAUGGGGAUGUGACGGGCAUCACCGUGGGGUUGCACCGGAUUAGGAGGAGGUUGAAUGGUUGGACGCCGAGUGCCGGGCUUGGGUGCAGCGACGCGGACGCCAAUCAUCGGGGACAGAUCCACCUCUUCAAGCUCAUCCUCAAAAUCUGACCCCUCCGAAGAGGAAUCACUGGACGAGCUGGGAGGACGAGCGACACUUUUCCGAGGGCGAUCUUCCUCCUGGAGUCGUCGGAGCCACCACGACUAGACGGACGAGCUGGCCCUCCGGCGACUUGCUUGAGUGCGGAGUGCUUGGACCGAGGCAUCAUGACCUAGGGGAGAAGGAAAGCACAUGUCAACACCCCACAUCAGGGUGAAUGCAUGAGGAGGGGGGAGGGAAGGUUGUGCCCUGCCUUGCGAGGAAGAGCACGGAGGAGCCGAGCGACGUGCUAGAGCAGAGGGUCGACGGAUUGGCCGGGGAGAGAAACUCCGAGAAGAACGGGCUGGACGGGCCGGACGGCGAGUCGCAGAUCCGCGGCGGGGAGAAACCCCGGCGAGGGGUACGGCGGCGGGCGGCUGCGGGGAGUGGACGCACGGCAGGAGCGGCGGCGGCGGCGGGCCAAGUGGAGAGGAUGUGGUUGGUUGACCAAACCCUACGGUGCAGUAUAUAUAGACCCCAGUAAAAACGUACAGACGUCCAGAGCCUACGGACGUCCGGAGCCUACGGACGACCAGAGUCAUAUAUGCGUCCGGACAUCCGGGAACGGACGGACGACCGGAGUCUGGACCAUCAGCAAAUAGAGGAUGACAGAGAUGAUUCUACGGACGUCCGACGGCUUCGGACGACCGGGCAGAUUGUAACAGAAAGGUUUUUACGGACGUCCGGAGUCUUCCAGAUGUCCGGAGCUUCAUCGUCUAGGCCAACUUAAGGGAACCAGAGUGGAUUUUACGGACGUCCGGAGAGGACGGACGACCGGUCGAAGGUAAUCAGAGCAGAAUAUACGGACGUCCGGAUGCUUACGGACGUCCGGCAGUGAAAUACCACACGGACGUCAGGAACCUACGGACAUCCGACGCCAGAAGUUUGGACAGGAGGCAAGAAUGCAGGUGCUGAUCAUGAUGAGGAGAAAGGCAUUUUUUCAUUCAUUUUUUUUCACAGUAAAACUUAUUUAUGUAGUAACUCAUAUCCUACCUUACUCAAUCAUAGCCAUAGACUACAAGUGGUGGCUAAUGCCACAAUGUCUGAGUAGACAUGACAUGACACAGAAAGACUUGAACUUUAAGUGCAUAGUCACUACUCCAUCAUGUUAAAGCACCAUAGGUCUAGACUCAUGGAUACUUUGAGAGUGUUGGUUCUUUUUAUGCAUUGAGUAGGGCGAGAACAUUCAUGAAUUGAAUGUCUCCCCCUAAGUAUAUGCCUACAUCAUGACAAGACAUUAGAUUCAUGCAUGACUGGGUACUAGAUUUCACAUAAUGUUGUCAAGCUCCAAGAUACCAAGUUCACGCCUAAGUCGACAUAACCUUGCUUCAUCUAGAGGUUUGGUGAAGAUAUCUGCUAGUUGAAAAUCUGUACCAAUGUGAUCAAUGUGAAUAUCACCCUUUUCAACAUGAUCUCUCAAGAAAUGAUACCUAAUAUAAAUGUGUUUGGUGCGGAGAUGAUCUUUGGGGUUCUCAGCAAUAUUGACGGCACUUUCAUUAUCACACAGAAGAGGCACAUUUCUAUAGGUGAUACCGUAAUCCUUCAAAGUUUGCCUCAUCCAUAACAACUGAGUUGCACAACUAGCGGCAGCAAUGUAUUCAGCUUCUACGGUAGAGAGAGCAAUACAAUUUUGUUUCUUCUAGGACCAACUCACCAAGGACCGUCAAAGAAACUGACAUGCACUGGAUGUGGACUUGCGAUCCACUUUGUCUCCAGCCCAAUCCGCAUCCGUGUACCCAAUGAGAUCAAACUUAGCAUCCUUGGGGUACCAGAGGCCCAACUUUGGGGUGUGAACAAGGUAUCUAAGAAUAUGCUUAACCGCCUUAUGAUGACUUUCCUUAGGGAAAGCUUGAAAUCUAGCACACAUGCAUACACUGAACAUGAUGUCUGGUCUAGAUGCACAAAGAUAAAGCAAUGAACCAAUCAUAGAGCGGUAAGUAGAUGGGUCGAAAGGAGUACCAUUUGUGUCUUCAGUGAGAGUGAUUUUGGUUGGCAUGGGUGUCUUGCAUGGACUAGCGUCAAACAUACCAAACUUUUCUAGAAUAUCCUUGAGGUACUUUGCUUGAGAUAAGAAAAUUCCUUCUUGAAAUUGUUGAAUUUGAAAUCCGAGAAAGAACUUCAAAUCCGUAUUGAGUGACAUUUCAAAAUUCUUGGUCAUUGAAUCCGCAAACUUCUUGCAGAAAUGAAUGUUAGGAGAACCAAAAAUGAUGUCAUCUACAUAGAUUUGGCAUAGAAUCAAAUCACCCUUGUCCCUCUUAGUAAAAAGAGUGGGAUCGAUCACCCCUCUCACAAAACCAUCAUCGAGUAAAAACUUCUUCAAAUGAUCAUACCAAGCACGAGGUGCUUGUUUGAGGUCAUACAAAGCCUUAUGAAGUUUAUACACAUAGUCUUUGUGAAAGGGGUCAUCGAACCCGGGUGGUUGUGACACAUAUACUUCCUCUUGUAGAGGACCGUUAAGGAAAGCACUCUUCACAUCCAUUUGAUGUAAUGUAAAACCAUUGAAAGCGGCAUAAGCAAGUAAAAUGCGAAUGGAUUCAAGACGGGCAACGGGGGCAAAGGUCUCACCAAAGUCCAAACCUUCAACUUGUGAGUACCCUUGUGCCACUAACCUUGCCUUGUUUCGGAUGAUGACACCAUUUUCAUCUUGCUUGUUCUUGAAAAUCCAUUUUGUUCCAAUGACGUUGUGCUCGUUGGACGGCCUCUUGACUAGUGACCACACUUGGCUGCGUUCAAAAAUGUUCAACUCUUCUUGCAUAGCAACAAGCCAAUCGUUGUCCAUCAAUGCCUCUUGUACCUUGAGUGGUUCAAUACUAGACACAAACGAGAAGUGAGCACAAAAGUUUGUCAAAUGUUUACGAGUGACUCUACCUUCCGAGAUGUCGGUGAGGAUUUUUUCAACAUCAACAUGACCAGCCACUCGAGGCAUGAUGGAGGUGAGGGUUUCACGAGGUUCAACUUCAUGUCCAUCAUCCACAUCUUCAACAUAUGGAUCAUUCACGUGUGGAGGAAGAUCUUCUUGUUCAUGUUGCAUUUGUUGAGGUUCGUCAUCCAUGAUUGGACUUUCUUGUUCUUUCUCUUGAUGAUGAUCUUGUUCUUGAUGGUUAUCAUUAAGUGAGACUUGAUCAACCUCAUCUACUUGGGCUAAGGGUAUAGGUUGAACAAUAGGAACUUGUGUUGGUAUGGAUGUUGAAGUAGUUUGAUGAUGCGUGAGACCUCCAUCUUCUUCUUCAUCAUCAUGAGGUUCUUGUUCCAUAGGAAGAAGUGCACCAACACCCAUGUUCAAAAUGUCUUGAGAAGAAUCUUCUUCACCUACAUCACUUAGAUCAACUUGCUCCCCAUGGGAGCCAUUAAAUUCAUCAAACACCACGUCACAAGUUUCUACAACACAUCCAUUGGAUUUGUUGUAGACUCUAUAGGCGUGAGAGUUUGAUCCAUAACCAACAAAUAUACCCUCAAUUGUUUUGGAUUGAAAUUUUCCUAACCGUUCUCUUUUGUUGAGAAUGAAACAUUUGCACCCAAAUACACGAAAGUACUUGACAUUUGGCUUGUUUUCAGUUAGAAGCUCAUAUGGAGUCUUUUCCAAUAUAGUGCGGAGGAAGAGUCGGUUUGACGCAUGGCAUGCGGUAUUGACAGCUUCAACCCAAAAACUAUGUGGUGACUUGUAUUCAUCCAACAUGGACCUUGCAAUUCUACAAGUGUACGGUUCUUCCGUUCGGCUACACCAUUUUGCUGAGGAGUAUAUGGAGCUGAAUAUUGAUGCUGAAUCCCUUCAUCACUAAGAAAUUCUUCCAAGGUAUAGUUCUUGAACUCAGAGCCAUUGUCACUCCUUAUUGCUCGGAUUUCUCUGUCAAACUUGCGUUGGGCUUGCUUGGCAAAAUCAAUGAAGGUGAUCUUCAUUUCGUCCUUGGACUUGAGGAAGAACACCCAUGUAUAUCUUGAGUAAUCAUCAAGAAUGACAAGCCCAUACUUUUUCCCACCAAGACUAUCCCAUGAAGGAGGCCCAAAAAGAUCCACAUGAAGGAGCUCCAGGGGACUUGAAGUAGAUACUAUGUUCUUGGGUGGGUGCUUUGAUUGAUGUUGCUUCCCGGCUAUGCAUGCACUACACACACGAUCUUUCUCAAAAGAGACAUUGGUUAGUCCAAGGAUGUGAUUUCCCUUUAAGAGAUCUUGAAGAUUUCUCAUGCCGACAUGGGCUAGCCGGCGAUGCCAUAGCCACCCCUUGUCAGCCUUGGCCAUUAGACAAGUUGCAUGGAAUGUGCUCUCUUUUGAGAAAUCAACCGUGUAAAGGUUGCCAUCCAACUCUCCAACAAAUGACACUUCGAGAGUAUCUCUCUUAAAGACUUUCACAUCCGUUAGUCCAAAGAGUGUAUCAUAACCAACAGAAGCCAAUUGGCGAACAGAAAGCAAGUGAUAUUUAAGGGAUUGGACAAGCAUAACAUUUGCAAGAGACAUGUCAUUGGUGAUAGCCACCUUGCCCAACCCGAGUACCUGUCCUUUUGAACCUCCACCAAACAUAAUGCUCAUGAAUGGUUGAAUAGCUUCCAUGAAAUCGUAGAGCAAUUUGCUAUCUCCGGUCAUAUGAUUUGUACAUCCACUAUCAAUCACCCAUUUCACUCCACCGGAGAAGCUUACCUACACACAAUUAGGACUUGGUUAGAGGCACCCAUUUUGCAAUGGGACCUCUCAAGUUAGUUACAAGGGUCUUAGGGACCCAAAUAGCAUAAAAACGGAAUGCAUUUCGAGGACCAACAAAUUUUGCAAAGACUUCUCCAUCCUUAGUCUUCCGAAGUACAUAGGAAGGAGGCAUGAACUCUUUAGGCUUGUUGAGAGUGGGCAUGCCCCUUGUGGCCUUCCCACUCACAACCUUACCUUUCUCCUUGUGCCCUUCUCUUACAAAAGUUUCGUUUAGAGGAGUUGUGCACUUUUGGGAGGACGUCUUCUUCUUACUUGUGCUAGGGUCAAACCCAAGUCCCUCUUUGGCAAACACCUCAUUGUGUAGACUCAAAAUCUCAUCAAGAUUCUUUUGCCCUUGAGCACAUGUCAUGAGACCUUUCUCAAUUUGAGCCUUGAGAAAACGAUUUUCCUCAAGAAUAGAUGCUAGAUCACUACUAGAGUUAGUAGCACAAGCAUCAACAUUUAUAAUAGGCGAAGAGUAAGCCUUGGCUAGAGUUUCAAGUAAGUUUGAGCAUCUCAAAACUCUUUCUAAGAACGGUGAGCUCUCCUUCCUUCGUCUUGAGGUACACGGAUAGAAGCUCACAAUCCUUAGAUAGAGAAGCACGAGACUUCACAAGCUUGCUUUUAUCAUUCAUUAACUCUUCACAAGAGUCAAUAGCCUUUUUCAAGGAGGCAAGAUCAUUAGUGUGAACAUCAAUGUUUGCACCAAUUUUUAAGCAUAGUUCAUCAUUUCGUGCUUCCUCAUAUUGGAAUUUCCGCUCAAGGAUUUCACACUUUUCCUUUUCCUCAGUGACGAGGGUUUCGAGUUCCUUAAUGGUGAUGGUGUGCUUACUCACCAUCUCCAUAAGAAUACGAAACAUAGUGAGUUUCUUUCCUUUGAGGGAGCACAUGAACUUAUUAAGUUUAGCAAUCAUAGGAUCAUCUAGAUCAUCAUCCUCAUAGCUAUCCUCCGCAUCAAGGUACUCAUCACUAGGAGUAGAAGGUGUGAAAAGAGGAGGAUUUGAUCGUGGAGUUACCUUGACCUUGUCAGAAGAGCUUUGGUCCUCUCCUUCCUCAACCAUGGCCUUUGCCAUUAGGCACUUGUGAGCGUUGCCCUUGUAAUCUUUCAUGUAGUUGUAGGUGACCACGUCACCACUCUUGUUUACUAACCUCAACGUGUUUUGAGAGUCUUGAUCAACUCCGGCAACACCACUAACAUCAUCCGGAUCAGAUUCUUCUUGAGCAACCAUUGCCAUUCCAUCUCUCUUCUUGAGCUUGGAUUUUAAAGGAUUUGGCAACUUCUUCUUGGGAAAGGUCUUGGGAAACCUUGGUUUAUCUUCUCUCUUCUCAUAAGGUCACUCGUUGGAGAAGUGACUGGUUUCUUCACAGUUGUAGCAUUUUCUCACUUUCUUCUUUUGAAAUCUUCCCUUGAAUUUUCCGGCGCUAAACUUCUUGACAAAAAGAGCCAUGUCUUCAUACAAAGGGCCCUCGUCGGAGUCAAUCUCAUUACCAUCUUCAUCCUCAUCAUCUUCUUCUUCUUCUUCACUUUGCUCAUCUUCACAUACUUGCUUGGCCUUCAAUGCAAGAUUGAUUUUUGAUGAUGGGGAACCAUGCAUGGCAAGAUGUUUUGUGGCAUUGGCCUUUGACUCUUCAAAUAGUUGGAAGGUGUAUAUGAUGUCAUCUAUUGUCAUUUCCUUGAAGGUAUGGUGUUGUCUUAUGUCCCACACCAUUUGAUGAUGAUAAGGAGCAAGAGCAUGAAGCAACUUAUCCACAAGAAACCUCUUAGUCAUAUUGAAUCCAUCUUGAGUCUUGUCACACUCACAUGACUCAAUAUCCACAGUGAGAGUCAUGAGACGCUCAAGGAGUUGAUUGGGGGUUUCACCUUUUUCCAUACAAAAUUUUUGCAAUUGCCCCUUGGCAAUUUCAUAUUGAGCACUCCGGAGGGUAGAAGUGCCAGUCCUGGAUCGUAUAAUACUUUCCCAUAGUUCCUUGGCACUUUUGAUGUGUAUGAACGGUCUCCUUUGCUUUUCAUCCAUACCUCUCCUUAUACACAUGAUUGCCGUGUCAUUGAGGUUCUUAUCAUAUAUUUCUCUUGGUGUGGGGUUCUUUGGAUCAACCACAUGAUAGCCAUACUCUAUAAUCUCCAGCAUCUCAUCGUUUCCAUGUCGAAGAUGAUCCUGCAUAGCAACUUUCCACAAUGCAAAAUCAGUAGUAGCAGUAAGUAAAGGAGGUUUGCCUUGAGGGUUAUAUCUUGGUUUCUCAACCUGAGGUCUUGCAUAAAGCCAAGGAACCUGGUGUGUUCAUUGCUAGGAGGUUGUUGACCAAGUGAUGAAGUAGGCACAGUUGGGCUCAGACUCACACCACUUGAGUGUGGUGCAAGCACCGCGGACAACGUGGCUAAUCUCAAUUGGACCAAGGCCUCAAGAGAAGCAUCAUGCUCCUCUUUUUGCUUAGCAAGGGCCCGUUCUAGAUCCUGAGACGUAAAGGACUUGACUUCAGAAGAAGCCUCGCCUUUAUCCUUAGGAUCUACAACCAGGGGAGUCCCAUCUGGGUUCAUCUCGCUCUAGGGCGGUUAAGCCACAAGAAUAGAGCAUGAGGCUCUGAUACCAAUUGAAAGGAUCAAGAUGGACCUAGAGGGGGGGGGGUGAAUAGGUACAAUUACAAAUUCUAAUUAUUACUUGGCAAUUUUUAGGCAAUAAUGCGGAAUAUGAAGAUGAGCCUAACAAUUGCACCUGAGCACAAAGUACUAAGAAAAUAACACAAACACGUAAGUAGGCAAGCACAAUAUAAUGUACGCAAGUGUAAAGAGACAAGUAACCACAAGUAGAGAGUUAAGGUUAGGAAUAACCGCAACUCCGGGAGACGAGGAUGUAAGCCGAUGUUCACUCCCUUGGAGGGGAGCUAGUCACCGUUAGAGGGAUGGAUGUUACCACGAAGGCACACCAAUGCCACGAAGGCUCACCCUAUUCUCCCUUUGAGACAACACCAUAGAGGCGUUUCUCAACCACUAGUGGUAGACCUUGGGGUGGUCUCCAAACCCUCACAAACUUUUCCGAGGGUAAUCACAAAGUUCGAUUCCUCUCCGGAUGACUCCUACCGCCUAGGAGUCUCCAACCUCCAAGAGUAACAAGAACGAUGGGGAAAUGCUCAAAACUUGCUCAAGUCACGAAUUCCUUUGGUGCAAAGAAGGGGAAGAAGUGGAUCUAUCACUUGAUUGGAGAACUUCUCUCAAAAUGCUCCUAGAACACUUGGAAUCUAGGAUUUAGUGUGGAUGAAUGAGAGAGAGAGUGAGGAGUGUUCUUAUGAGGCUCAAAGUGAAUGGUCAACCCAAUCCCGUGGAAGGGAAGGGUGUAUAUAUAGGUGAUGGGAAAAAAUGGCUGUUUGGGGUACAGGAUGGCCGGACGUCCGGAGAACGUCGGACGUCCGGAGGCCCAAAUGGGUCCGGACGUCCGACAGUCAUCGGACGACCGGCCGCUGUGAAAAGUGUGACCCACAAUCCAGUGUACAGGAUACGGACGUCCGAGCGGGGCCGGACAUCCGUAAGAAUGCUUCUGAUGUGAAAGUGUCGGACGUCCGGAGGGUUCCGGACAUCCAUAAAAAUGUUUCUGUUGUGGAAGUGUCGGACGUCCGGAAGUGUCCGGACAUCCAGGCAAUCAGGAAGGACCGGACGUCCGUAGAACACCGGACGUCCGAAGGCAAGGUAUAUAGAUAGCAACUUUUGAGCAAGCUUUUCACAGAUCCAUCGAUCCCCUCUUAAUAGUGCGGGAUCCCUAUACUCAAGAACAAACCAUAAAUGAAGUCAACAUCUUGUAUCUCCAUUCUUGAGUUAUAUGCUUUUGUCCCUAGUCAUGAUCCAUGCACACGGUCUUUGGAACAUAAUCCUGAGAUAUACUUGAUAAACAUGAUUAGUCCCGAGCAUAUGUGUUGUCAUCAACAUCAAAAUAUGAUUAAGGGCAUGAUUGCACUUUCAACACUGACUUGGAUGACCAAUGGCAAGUUGCUUUCAGUCAAGUGGAAAGCUUUCAUGGAGUUGAUUGGGGUGCAAGAUCUAGGUCUUGAGUCUCCUGUCGUCUUUUGCCCCCACCGCCGCACCACCGCCACUCACUAGCAAGCUCUAUGGCCCUACUGCACUUUGAGGAUCAACCCUGAGACGAAGAAGGAAACUUAUGAGCUGCCUGCCUAUUUGGAUAUCCUUCACCGUAUCUUCAGAGAGACUCUAUUCCCUCGUAUCGGGAAUCUGGAUAUGGUUCACUCCUAUCUCGUGGACAUGCUUCUCUUCUGCCAGCGUGAGAAGGGACAGAACAUCGGAGAGUCCCUGGAUAUCUCUCAUGUUAUGUGGUCUGAGAUGUUAUCUGCUAUCUCCGAGCGCAAGUGCCCGAUUUAUGGUCCGUUCAUCAUGCUGCUUAUUGAGAAGGCCUGGGAUCGUGUCUAUCCCCAGGUGAUUCUGGAGACUGGAGAUUUGGUCUCUCACGACGUCAAGCGUCUGAGGAAGAAGGAUAACUGGGGCACUCAGGCCCCUAAGACUAGAGUUCCUUCGUCUGCUACUGCCAUGGAGACUUAGGAGGAGACUGGGGCUGAGGCUGAGGCUGAGGAUGAUGACUACGUGCCUUCUGAGGCAGAGCCCUCUUGGGCAAAGAAGCUCAAGCUCAAGAUGAAGAAGCUGUUCUGCAUGGAGUAUCACGUUCAGUACAUGACUCAUGUGGCUGAGAAGAAGGCCCAAGGUCGCCACAAGGAGCUCAUGCGUCAGUUGGGUGCUACAGUUAUCAGUGGAUCUGAGGACCAGCUUACCGAGGAGGAGGAGUGGAUUCAACAGCACUGCCCGUGGACCGAUUCUGAUGCCGAGCACUUCCCGACUGACGAUGGUGGCGCAGAUGAUCCCGCUGAGCUCUGAUGUGUGUGUCGCUCUUUUGCUAUCACCUGGAGCCGUAGCAACACUCCCUCUCCUUUUUGGUGUCUCGAUGCCAAAGGGGGAGACAAUUUAGGGAUUUGUGCUUUGUGUCUUCCGUCUUCUGUGUUUGUGUUUUCCUCGCAAUUUGCUUUGUUUGGUUUGUGUCAAUGAGACCUAAGUUCCAGUCAUAUGGUGUGAGACAUAUGCUACCUUAUCUUUCCAGUAUCAUUAUCUAUGUCACUAUCUAGCUUAUGAGUUGCAUGCUUAUCCUGUUAAGUUAUCUAUGCUACUCUCUUAUACCCUGCUUAGGUGGUUGGUCUCUAAAAUGUAGGGGGAGCAUUGAUCCUAGUAUGUGUGCCGUGCAGUCCAAAGCACUCAUCUAGAUAGCACACAUCUAGGGGGAGCUCAUCUACAUUUUAGGACGUGGGGUUUUUGCACUUGUCCUAUAUCUCUCAUGUUGUGCAAAUCCCGUAUUAUCAUCAAUCCACCAAAAAGGGGGAGAUUGUAAGGGCAUAUUUAUCCCCAAGAUGUUUUGGUGAUUGAUGACAAUGCUUGUGCGGACUAAUCGUGUGCGUUAAGUUCUUUCAGAGAUUUAUCCAUUGGCAUGAGACGAUUACCUCCCCUCGGAGUUUUAUUCAAGACGGUGUAGCUCCUUCGUUUCGUUGUUGGUGGACUAGUUUCCUAGGAGUCACCGUACUAUGAAGAGGGGAUCCGUUUUGGUAAGGCUAGGGUGGAAUCAACACGUACACAUCCUUAUCACACCCGACGCUUUCCUUCCGCUUCAUUCGAGCUGCCUUUUCCCCUGUGUAUGCUUUGUCCUGCCCCAGCGGUAGUACCGCGGUCCACAGCGGUAGUACCGCCGAAGCACCCUAGCGGUAGUACCGCUCCCCAAGCGGUAGUGCCGCUCUCCGAGCGGUAGUACCGCUUGUGGUCUUUGGCCGUAGUACUGCAGUGGUUCCGGGCUACUGCCGCCUCGAUUCGAGACCGAUGUUUUUCGUGUCGGGUUUUACGGUACUAAGUACGGUAGUAGUGGUGGUAGUACCGCUCCAAGCGGUAGUACCGCGCCUACUCCCAUGGUAGUACCGCUCUGGGGCCAGGACCCUGACCUCCCCGUCAGCAUGGCAGUACCGCUGGGUAAGAGCGGUAGUACCGCCCUGCCCAAGCGGUAGUACCGCUCUGUGCGGGGCUGUUCAGUGGGGUAACGGUUGGAUUGGUUCCCCCACUAUAUAAAGGUGUCUUCUUCCCCAAAGUUGACUUACCUCUUUCCCCCAAAGCUCCAUUGUUGCUCCAAGCUCCAUUUUCGCCCGAUCUCUCUCCCUAGCCAAUCAAACUUAUUGAUUUGUUCGGGAUUGGUUGAGAAGGCCCCGAUCUACACUUCCCCCAAGAGAAAUUUGAUUCCCCCACUUAUCCCUAGCGGAUCUUGUUACUCUUGGGUGUUGAGCACCCUAGACGGUUGAGGUCACCUCGAAGCCAUACUCCAUUGUGGUGAAGCUUCGUGGUGUUGUUGGGAGCCUCCAAGUGUUGUGGAGAUAGCCCCAAUCUUGUUUGUAAAGGUUCGCUCACCGCCUUCAAGGGCACCAAUAGUGGAAUUACGGCAUCUCGCAUUGUGUGAGGGCGUGAGGAGAUUACGGUGGCCCUAGUGGCUUCUUGGGGAGCAUUGUGCCUCCACACCGCUCUAACGGAGACAUACUUCCCUUUAAAAGGAAGGAACUUCGGUAACACAUCCUCGUCUUCACCGGCUCCACUCUUGGUUAUCUUGUGCCUUUACUUUUGCAAGCUUACUUGUGUUGUAUCUAUUACUUGCUUGUGUGCUAGUUGUAUUUGCAUCAUAUAGGUUGUCCACGUAGUUGCACAUCUAGACAACCUAUUUCGUUGCAAGGUUUAAAUUGUUAAAGAAAAGUCUAAAAAUUGUUAGUUGCCUAUUCACCCCCCUCUAGUCAACCAUAUCGAUCCUUUCAACAAGCAUGUCUAGAUUGUACUUAUGAGGAAUUUGUUCUAUUGCUAUGCAGUAUCUUUUGUAGCUACUAAUUCGCUGAGUAGAGUUACCAAGAAAAGAAAUUGCAAUGCCUAUAAUCUCAACCUCUUUCUUGCAUCUUUUGAUAGCACAUUUAGCAAUGAGAUGAAUCAUAUGACAAGCACAAUGUUGAUUCAGUAAAAAAGAUGAAGCAUAUAUAGAAAACAGAGGACCGAGGCUCUCCUUUGUAGUUGCAUUUGAUGAAGCAUUAUCCAAAGUUACUAUAAAUAUCUUGUCGGUCAGACCAAAUUCUGACACAACAUUAAGUAUAGCCUGAGCUAUGUUUUCACCAGUGUGUGCUUCGUCAAUUAAUUCAAAUCCUAUAAUACUUUUUUGUAGUUCCCAUUUUUUGUUAAUAUAAUGAGCGACCACACUAAUGUAGUCUUGCUUUGCCCGACAACUCCAGAUAUCAGAUGUUAAAGAGACUGAAAAAGUGCAUGUAGUAAAAUCAUCUUUUAUUUUCUGAAGACUAGUUUUGCAUGUCAUAUCCCUACUUGUAGUUUCUCUAGAAACUGAUUUGAAACUAGGAGUAUGAACUUUUUGAAUGUAUUCGGUAAAACCGGGCGAAUCACCAAAACCUAAUGGCAAAUCAUUAGAAGCAAUUAAACGGCAAAUUCCUUCUCUAUGAAGAUCAGGAUCAUAGAUGAAGUUCUGCACCAUACCGUCGGGGUUGAACUUGAGCGUGGCAUGUGUCCCCGCAGACUGCUUGUGUGUGCCUGUUGAGGUGGCCGGUUCCCUCUUNNNNNNNNNNNNNNNNNNNNNNNNNNNNNNNNNNNNNNNNNNNNNNNNNNNNNNNNNNNNNNNNNNNNNNNNNNNNNNNNNNNNNNNNNNNNNNNNNNNNNNNNNNNNNNNNNNNNNNNNNNNNNNNNNNNNNNNNNNNNNNNNNNNNNNNNNNNNNNNNNNNNNNNNNNNNNNNNNNNNNNNNNNNNNNNNNNNNNNNNNNNNNNNNNNNNNNNNNNNNNNNNNNNNNNNNNNNNNNNNNNNNNNNNNNNNNNNNNNNNCUAAUGGAAAGCAAGCGGGCGAAUCUCUUACAUCAAGGUUUCAACACGUUGACGCCGACCGUCCUCCAUGACUAUUUCCUCAUCGAAAUGGUCCCAACAGGCUGAGGUUUUGGGUCGAACCCUCUUUGUACCAAUGGAGGUGAAGGUACUAGACUGGGUAGUGGAUUGGCUUCCGGACGCUCCAUACUCGUCGGAAGAGGGGUAUGUGAUGGUAUUGUGGGCUAUAUUAUCCAUCCACUCGGGGAUGUCCACAUCUAGAUCACUAGUAUUGAAACUGAACCGGCUGGGAUCACUACCCAUGGGAUCAUCCAUGUGUUGAGUGUGACAAAUAAGAGGGAGAGGAGUUUGAGUGUGAAAAAUGAGAGGGGUGGGCAACCCUUUCUAUAGCAAAAAUCUGACAUUUUUUGGGACCAAAUUUGCCCUACAAUGUUCAAAUAUUCAAAAUUGAGACAAAACAAACCUAACCCCCUCUAAACCCCCUAAACCCCUCUAAACCCCCUAAACCCCACCCACCGCUGCCACCGGAGGAGGCAUGUCACACGCUCCCUCCCCCCGCUGCUCCCUAAUCAGACGAGCCAACGACUCUUUCUGCUAUGGAACGAAUCUCUCAAUCGAUAGGAUUCCUCCCAUACCGUGCGUGCUGAGCGGUGCCUGUACCGGCCCAUUACUGUGCGUGCCAUGUCGGGCAUAGCAGCCCAGGCACGGCCCUAGCUGGGUCACGUGCCAGGCACGUCCCACUUCGCCUCGUGCCGUGCCGGUCCAUGACGGGCCAAACACGCGGGCUAUCGUGCAGGCCCAUAUAACAUGCCCGUUUGGCCAGGUUUGGGCGUAUCCUCAAGUCGCCAUGUUCACAUUAAAAAUUUACGUAUCCUGUACAUAUAGCAGGAGUAUAACAUCUUACGCGAAGCACCGGCAAGCACAGUUUCCCUUACAGUUUAUUUGUUAUGGACAGAGACAAGGUUUUACUUAAGCUGGCGAUUGUUGUAUGUAUUUAUGUUCAUCUGUUUAUUAUUCCCCUUGAACCAUUAUUAUUUUUGUGUUGAAACUGUUAUUAUAGUGCAUGUGAACAUGUCGCUCAGAGUAGUUAUCAAUCUUUUAUCAUCAACCAGUCGCUACCGAUAAAGCCAUCAUGAACAAAUUAAGAGAAAAUUAUGGUCCCUCGGCCAUACAGUAAUAAGGUCACAUGAACACGAUAAUUAGCUUAAACCAAUUUAUUUUUAUUGGUUUGUUUAUGAACUAAGUAGGACACUAAAUAUUUGUAUGAGAUGAAAAGACUGCCAUGACAUCUAAGUUAGAGCCAGCGAUCUGGUCACCCACGCCCCCGCGUGCCAGCCUCUGGCGACACGGGGAAACCCCAGCCGCCGCCGCCAGGGAGGCACCUCCCCGCCAGCCACCGCUGCGCCGCCGCCGGAGGGUCGGCCGGCGAAGCCGUGCCGUGCCCCGGGAUGGUGGCGGCGCAGCGGAUCCGUCCCACAAGCGCGUUCCCAGCCCCCCCUCCCGAUCCACCGCCCGCCGCCGCCUGGAUACUCCCCCUCCUGCCGUGCCGUCGCCGGAGGGCCGCCACGGCACGCCCUGGGAUGUCUUCGGCGGGCCGGAUCCACCGCUCCCGCGCUUCCCCAACCCCCAUCCCCCCUCCGCCGGCGCGUCCUCGAGCUCCCCGCGUCCUUACGUGCGUCGCGGGCGCCCAUCUCCCAGCUGCCAUGCGUCCCUGCCGGUCCAGCGUCGGGUGCGGCGUGCCUGCCAUGCCCAUGGCGCCCUCUCCUGCGGUCUCCCCUACCCCCGGCUUGGCCCAGCUCUGCUGGUGCUGCUCGGCCACGGGUUGGCUGCGACCUGCGGCCGGUCGCGGGGGUUCCCGGCCUGCUUUCCUGCGUAGGCGGCCCCCUCUUCCCCGACGGCCCAUCCCCCCUACCGAUCCACGAUGAUGGCUCACGCACAGCGGCGAUGAGGCUACAGUGCUAGUGGCAGCCUCGGUGCUCCUCAAGGCGGGCACUUGUUGGUGCUGCUCCGACCCCGGUGACCUUGGAUCCGCGUCUCUCCGGCGUCCAUGGUUGACGGCGUCCUAUGUCGGGCAGCUCUGGCCUUGGCGGACCAGCAACUGCGUCCUUUCCAGCUCGCUUGGCUCACCGACGUCCUGACGGCUAUGGCCUCGGCAAUAUGGAUCUGCGUCCCCCCAGUCCUUGUUUGCCGGCGUUGCUAAUCAUCGUCGGCCCACCCGCUUGUUGUUUGCUUUGCCGCCUGUCCUACCUGUAUGCCUCAAAGCCUUGCCUUUUGCUAGAUCCAACGCUCGUGUGUUCGGAGACGGUGCCAUCCUCCGAGGGAAGGUGCCUCCAAUCCCCUUCCAACACGGUGGCUCCGACCAGCGUCGACUUCCUCAUUCGACUCCAGAUACGGCGGCUAUGGGAUUGCUUAGCCUGAGGCUUGGGAGAAAUCCUUGCUCGGCUUGCCGGUGCGGGUAGCGACGGCAUUUGCGAAUGUCGUUCCCUCCUUGGAGGCGUUGUCAAGGCUCUCAGUUGCGCCCCUCUUCGAGCUCAGGGGAAACCCUAGGUAUGGUUCCUCCGGACCGGAUGGCGACGAUGUCUCGGCGACAAAUUCUUUCUUGAAGGUGCUAUCUUGCUCGCUCGUGGUGUCCCCGUGUUCUGGCUUACGUUGGAAGUCUUGCUAGUUUGGCAUUGCCGAUCUCGGUUCGGGCUUGGUAGGUUUACCUGUGAUGUAUUCUCUAUUCGGGCCGAGCACCCCUUGCCUGUCUGCUCUGGACACCAUGUUCACGCAUGCGUGCGUUCGUGUCAUGAGUUGUACCCCUCUUUGUACUCAUUCUACUCCUUUUAUCAAUGCAAUGAUACGCAAGCUUUGCGUAUUCACAAAAAAACAUCUAAGUUAGCUUGCUAGCUAACUAAGCGAGUUAGAAAACCAACUGGCAACCACAAUUCUUCUCUAAUAAAUUACAAAGCAUAUGGAUCAAACUACAAUUACAAAGCAUAUGGAGGUAAAACCCUACAUCAUGCUCUUGUUUAUAUUAAUGCAGGUGUAUCAAAUACAGAGUUGAUCUACCUCGAGAUCGUAAGUUCUGGUCUUACCCUAGAGUUAGACGAAUGUGAUUGCGUUGUUUCAGUCCCCUCUACGGGCUAAACCCUUUUACUUAUAUAUACACGCCAGGUAGGGCACCUAGGGUUACAAGGUCGGUAUCUAGGCGUGGAGGCAGCAAGAGAAGUGAUCUUGGAGUAUACGUCAAGUCUUCGGCAGAUACAGUCACGAUCUUGCCUCCAACGUGUAGCUUCCAGAGUCCAUCUUGAGAAGAAUGAGAGCCCAUUAGCCCAACCGAGGAACAUGGGCCGACUAGGUUAGUACCCCCUAGUCCAGGACACCAUUAAUAGCCCCUGAACUGGUCUUCUAUGUCGAGGACGAUUUCUUUGAUGAAGAUAACCUCAUAUCUGAAGUCCUUGGCUUGAUAGACGAGUUCUCCUCUGGGACUUUAAGAUCCCUGAAUCAUUCUUCAAAGGAGUGGUGAUUUGUGAACAAGACUCAGCCGAGCUCAUGCCUUGCCCGAAGAGACGGGAUUACUUAGCCUCGAAGGCCGACCACGUAGGUGUGAAUAGUGCCACCUAGCCUGACAACUUUACCGAAGAUGCGCGACCUACGACAGGCCAGGUAGUUACUGCCUGCCCCAACUACCAGCCCCAAAUCGUGACCCGAGGCAGGCUUUUUACAGGUGCAUUCCAUCGGAGUGGAGAUCGUGCCAUCUUAUUAGGGAUAUCAUCAAGAUUUUUCAAGAUGUUACGAACAACUGUUGAGGACCACACACUAAGCAGACACUCCCAAUGGUUGCAUAUGUCAUCCCUGUAUCCCACUAGAUUUCUAUUAUCAAGAAGAAAUAUUAGAUAGAAUUGUCAAAUAAGCACGCUGAAUCACCCUAGCAGAGAAUUAGAGUAUAUGGUGUCAUUAAUAUUCUGGAGAAAAUGUGGUUGUUGUGCAAAUGUUCUUUCGCUUGAACAAAGGAUUUUGGAAAUUGAAACCUGAAGGCAUGAUGCUUAUCUCAGUCAUAUGUUAGAUUCUCAGGAGCUACUUCAAGAGGCAUCGCUUUAUAUUGAAUCAACAGAGAAAGAAAAUGAACACGAUCAACACGCAACAAACAUCGGAUGCUCUGCUAGUGCAUGAGAAGAUAUCCACGCUUGGAGAAA
RNAcentral lists this long non-coding RNA (38418 nucleotides) under Triticum aestivum (bread wheat). RNAcentral's name for it is "long non-coding RNA (TAES_LNC026716)". The record is from RNAcentral. Lineage: Eukaryota; Viridiplantae; Streptophyta; Magnoliopsida; Poales; Poaceae.